Molecule: long non-coding RNA, 1399 nt
Organism: Dreissena polymorpha
Lineage: Eukaryota; Metazoa; Mollusca; Bivalvia; Myida; Dreissenidae
Exons: 3
Source: RefSeq, a predicted model, not a curated record
CCACGAAUUGUUGAGAGACCUACAGGAGAUGGAUGUUUAGCAGCUGUAUGUUCAUCUAGGCUCCAACUACUUUCUCGGUCAGUCCAGACACGUUGUCUUGUGCGAAGUGCUUCCUCGGUGUGCAGAUUACAGACAAGGUUGUUGGAUACCAGAAUGACGUCUGACUGCCAUGCAGAAAUGGAUUAAACGAGCCAACUCACUACUUCAGGACUACUGUCUUUGGUGGACAAAACAUGCUGAUCAAAAAGAAUGUGUACCACAGGGGCCGGUGUUUUCAUUUGAGUGAUUGACAAAAAGAAGAGAUGAGAAAUGUUAUCAUCAUAUUGUACACUCGACAUUUAAAGUGUACAGCUCAAUCAUGUAUUGAACUGGUGUUGUAGAAUAUAAUUGGAGAUACAUGUGAACAUUCUAACAUUAUAUAUAAGAUGAUAUUUCAAAAGGAAUAAGUUAUAAAAAGUAUAAAAAGGUAAAAAAAAACAGUAGACCAUGUGUUUCAGAGGUUUAAACUAAGUGCAGUGAAAGUGACUAGUUAACUGUUGAUCAAAAGCUACACUGAAAACUGUUAAACCUUGGACAACAGUUGUGGAACUUUAUAAAUGACUGUAUAUAACAGGGCAGGGCAGUUUUCCUUAUAUAGCUAUAGUGACACCUUUUGAACACUAGUGAAGUCAAAUUUUUUUUUUACAAUCUUCAUGCAUUUUGGGCGAAUAUUUGUUCUAAUGACUGCUCAGUCCAGUUUUUAAAUUGUUAUGUCUAUUCAAAAAACAUAUCCACCAGAGCGCUAGGCAAUUUUCUUUAUAUGGCUAUAAUGAAACCUUGUAAAUUCUGUAGAAGUCACAUUUUUAGCCCAAUCUUCAUAAAUUUUGGUCGGAAUAUUUAUUCUAAUGAUAGCUCAGUUGUCAAGUUUGUAACUGGUUCCGGUUUGUCGACUAACAUGGCUGCCAGUGGACACAGCAGUUUUUCUUACAUUGCUAGAGUAGAACAUUUUUAACACACAAUUGACCCUUUUUAUGUGCAUUCUUCAUGAAAGAUGAUUAGAGCAUUUGGCCCAAUGUAAUCUGAGCUGACUUUGAAACUGGAUCACAUAAGGUCAAAAAAUGGGUCAAAAUGUCAAAUUAAAAAAAGCUUGUAAACACUGAAAGUCGCAUUUGAAAUUUUGUUCCUUUUUUUAAAGUUUGUCAAAACAUUUGCUGUAAUGUAAUGCAAGUCAAGUUUAAAAAUGAUUAUUUGCCUACAAAUUACAUAUUUUUAUGUCCCCCACCACGUAUAGUGGGGGACAUAUUGUUUUUGCCCUGUCUGUUGGUUGGUUGGUUUGUGUGUUUGUUUGCUCCAACUUUAAAAUGUGCCAUAACUUUUGCAAUAUUGAAGAUAGCAACUUGAUAUUUAAAUUGCAUGUGUA